Molecule: ribosomal RNA, 425 nt
Filed under: uncultured bacterium
Lineage: Bacteria
Description: partial 16S ribosomal RNA
Rfam family: Bacterial small subunit ribosomal RNA
Source: RNAcentral
GUGGGGAAUCUUAGACAAUGGGCGCAAGCCUGAUCUAGCCAUGCCGCGUGAGCGAUGAAGGCCUUAGGGUUGUAAAGCUCUUUCGCUGGGGAAGAUAAUGACUGUACCCAGUAAAGAAGCCCCGGCUAACUCCGUGCCAGCAGCCGCGGUAAUACGGAGGGGGCUAGCGUUGUUCGGAAUUACUGGGCGUAAAGCGCGCGUAGGCGGAUUGGAAAGUUGGGGGUGAAAUCCCGGGGCUCAACCCCGGAACUGCCUUCAAAACUCCCAGUCUUGAGGUCGAGAGAGGUGAGUGGAAUUCCGAGUGUAGAGGUGAAAUUCGUAGAUAUUCGGAGGAACACCAGUGGCGAAGGCGGCUCACUGGCUCGAUACUGACGCUGAGGUGCGAAAGCGUGGGGAGCAAACAGGAUUAGAAACCCCGGUAGUCC